AGCGCAGGCGGUUUCUUAAGUCUGAUGUGAAAGCCUUCGGCUCAACCGAAGAAGUGCAUCGGAAACUGGGAAACUUGAGUGCAGAAGAGGACAGUGGAACUCCAUGUGUAGCGGUGAAAUGCGUAGAUAUAUGGAAGAACACCAGUGGCGAAGGCGGCUGUCUGGUCUGUAACUGACGCUGAGGCUCGAAAGCAUGGGUAGCAAACA
This 207-nucleotide ribosomal RNA is filed under the name uncultured bacterium. RNAcentral's name for it is "partial 16S ribosomal RNA". It matches the Rfam family "Bacterial small subunit ribosomal RNA", at positions 568 to 774 of the family's 1533-position model. The record is from RNAcentral.